CGGCAACAGCUCAAAUUUGAAAUCUGGCUCCUUUGGGGGUCCGAAUUGUAAUUUGCAGAGGGUGCUUUGGCGUUGGCGGCGGUCUAAGUUCCUUGGAACAGGACAUCACAGAGGGUGAGAAUCCCGUACGUGGUCGCCUUCCUUCGCCGUGUAAAGCCCCUUC
RNAcentral lists this ribosomal RNA (163 nucleotides) under Periconia digitata. Its description in RNAcentral is "partial large subunit ribosomal RNA". It matches the Rfam family "Eukaryotic large subunit ribosomal RNA", at positions 99 to 258 of the family's 3401-position model. Lineage: Eukaryota; Fungi; Ascomycota; Dothideomycetes; Pleosporales; Periconiaceae. The record is from RNAcentral.